Molecule: ribosomal RNA, 467 nt
Filed under: uncultured bacterium
Lineage: Bacteria
Description: bacterial SSU rRNA
Rfam family: Bacterial small subunit ribosomal RNA
Source: RNAcentral
GCCAGACUCCUACGGGAGGCAGCAGUGAGGAAUAUUGGUCAAUGGGCGGAAGCCUGAACCAGCCAAGUCGCGUGAGGGAUUAAGGCCCUGCGGGUCGUAAACCUCUUUUGCCGGGGAGCAGUGGUCCGGACGCGUCCGGACCGGGAGAGUACCCGAAGAAAAAGCAUCGGCUAACUCCGUGCCAGCAGCCGCGGUAAUACGGAGGAUGCGAGCGUUAUCCGGAUUUAUUGGGUUUAAAGGGUGCGUAGGCGGACAGUCAAGUCAGCGGUAAAAAUGCGGUGCUCAACGCCGUACAGCCGUUGAAACUGGCAGUCUUGAGUGGGCGAGAAGUAUGCGGAAUGCGUGGUGUAGCGGUGAAAUGCAUAGAUAUCACGCAGAACUCCGAUUGCGAAGGCAGCAUACCGGCGCCCGACUGACGCUGAGGCACGAAAGCGUGGGUAUCGAACAGGAUUAGAUACCCGUGUACA